GGGGUUGUAGCUCAGUGAGAGAGCGAUUGUUUAUCAUGUAUGAGAUCCUGGGUUCGAUCCCCAGCACCA
This 69-nucleotide transfer RNA is filed under the name Urocitellus parryii (Arctic ground squirrel). RNAcentral describes it as "Spermophilus parryii (Arctic ground squirrel) tRNA". It matches the Rfam family "tRNA". Rfam says of the family: Transfer RNA (tRNA) molecules are approximately 80 nucleotides in length. Their secondary structure includes four short double-helical elements and three loops (D, anti-codon, and T loops). RNAcentral also lists the same sequence under 1 other name. The record is from Rfam by way of RNAcentral. Lineage: Eukaryota; Metazoa; Chordata; Mammalia; Rodentia; Sciuridae.